GUCAUGUUACAUGUAUGCUGAGAAUAUUUUAAUGUCACAAAGUUAUGAAAUGGAUAAAUGAAAUAUUGUCAACCAUUUAAAUAAAACAGACAAGCUCACAUAAAAAUCAACAGCCUAUGUGAAAGUUCAAGUUUAAUAAAAUUGUUUAGAUUUAACAUACCAUAUAUCCAAAAGUACAGAAUUGCCUUUCUCAGAAAUUUUGUAUGUUUAAUAGAAUGAUAGUUGUAGCUUUUAUUUUCUUGGAACUGUUUCAAUACAAAAUAGGGAGA
Molecule: long non-coding RNA, 269 nt
Filed under: Mytilus galloprovincialis (Mediterranean mussel)
Lineage: Eukaryota; Metazoa; Mollusca; Bivalvia; Mytilida; Mytilidae
Source: RNAcentral